UGGAUUUGGAUUUGGAUUUGGAUUGGUGUGAAUUUCAAUUGACAAUAAGUAAUUGAAUUUGAUAUCACCUUAAAAUUUUACAAUUUUCAUUUAAAAUUCAAAUUGAAAUCUUUAAUUAUUUCAAAUACAUACACCCCUAUAUCCAAAUGCGAUCUAAAAUUAUUUCUUAGAUUAUUGCUCUUGGUUGCCAACUGAAUGCAUGUUUAUGUAACAAUUUAUUCAUUGAUUAUCUAAUACUAUGUCUCUCCAAUCAGGCCAAGUACAUUUUAGUUAAUAUUGUGCUGGUUGUGGAACUACUGGGAAUUGCAGUAAAUGUGUGGGAGUUGAGACUGUAGUGAAUUGGGAACCAGGCGACAAGUUUGGGAUGGUGGCGAGGAGAGUGCAAGUAAAGAAGAGGCUAUAGAUUAGGGAUAGCAUCGGAUGAAUAGAAUGUGGAAGAGGUGAGGAUAAAAGGAAGAGAGCAAGAGAGGUUGGAGAUAAGGCUAAUAGAGCAAUAAAAGAAAUUGGAUCUGCUUGAGAUGG
This 522-nucleotide unclassified non-coding RNA is filed under the name Hevea brasiliensis (rubber tree). Lineage: Eukaryota; Viridiplantae; Streptophyta; Magnoliopsida; Malpighiales; Euphorbiaceae. The record is from RNAcentral.